Molecule: ribosomal RNA, 459 nt
Filed under: uncultured bacterium
Lineage: Bacteria
Description: partial 16S ribosomal RNA
Rfam family: Bacterial small subunit ribosomal RNA
Source: RNAcentral
CCUACGGGAGGCAGCAGUGAGGAAUAUUGGUCAAUGGUCGGGAGACUGAACCAGCCAAGCCGCGUGAGGGAUGAAGGUACAGAGUAUCGUAAACCUCUUUUGUCAGGGAACAAAGGCGGGGACGCGUCCCCGGAUGAGUGUACCUGAAGAAAAAGCAUCGGCUAACUCCGUGCCAGCCGCCGCGUGAAUACGGAGGAUGCGAGCGUUAUCCGUAUUUCUUGGGUUGAAAGGGUGCGCAGGCGGUCUGUUAAGUCAGCGGUCAAAGCCCGGGGCUCAACCCCGGCCCGCCGUUGAAACUGGCAGUCUCGAGUUGGAGAGAAGUAUGCGGAAUGCGCGGUGUAGCGGUGAAAGGCAUAGAUAUCGCGCAGAACUCCGAUUGCGAAGGCAGCAUGCCGGCUCCACACUGACGCUGAGGCACGAAAGCGUGGGUAUCGAACAGGAUUAGAUACCCUUGUAGUC